GACCCGACUGCUAUUUGGGUGAGAAUAAGCCAUGCGAGUUGAAUGGGAUACCUAAAGUUCCCAUAGCGAACUGCUCAGUAACACAUGAUCAACUUACCCUAUAGAGAAAAAUAACCUCGGGAAACUGAGGAUAAUGUUUCAUAAUUGAAUUGGCUUGGAAAAGUUUUUCAAUGAAAGGGAUAAAAAAAAUGGUUUUUAUCUGCUAUAGGAUAGGAUCGUGUUCGAUUAUGGUUGUUGGUGAGAUAAUGGCUCACCAAGCCGAUAAUCGAUAGGGGCCGUGAGAGCGGGAGCCCCGAGAUGGGUACUGAGACAACGACCCAGGCCUUACGAGGCGCAGCAGGCGCGGAACCUCCGCAAUACACGAAAGUGUGACGGGGUUACCCAAAGUGUUCAAUAGAACUGUGGUAGGUGAGUAAUGUCCCCUACUAGAAAGGAGAGGGCAAGGCUGGUGCCAGCCGCCGCGGUAAAACCAGCUCUUCAAGUGGUCGGGAUAAUUAUUGGGCUUAAAGUGUCCGUAGCCGGUUUAGCAAGUUCCUGGUAAAAUCGGGUAGCUUAACUAUCUGCAUGCUAGGAAUACUGCUAUACUAGAGGGCGGGAGAGGUCUGAGGUACUACAGGGGUAGGGGUGAAAUCUUAUAAUCCUUGUAGGACCACCAGUGGCGAANGCGUCAGACUGGAACGCGCCUGACGGUGAGGGACGAAAGCCAGGGGAGCGAACCGGAUUAGAUACCCGGGUAGUCCUGGCCGUAAACGAUGCAUACUANGUGAUGGUACGGCCAUGAGCCGUAUCAGUGCCGUNNGGAAACCGUUAAGUGUGCCGCCUGGGAAGUACGGUCGCAAGGCUAAAACUUAA
RNAcentral lists this ribosomal RNA (852 nucleotides) under uncultured archaeon. Its description in RNAcentral is "bacterial SSU rRNA". It matches the Rfam family "Archaeal small subunit ribosomal RNA", at positions 20 to 859 of the family's 1478-position model. The record is from RNAcentral.